This 592-nucleotide ribosomal RNA is filed under the name Macrolycus sp. UPOL A00578. RNAcentral's name for it is "partial 16S ribosomal RNA". The stretch from base 366 to 524 matches the Rfam family "Bacterial large subunit ribosomal RNA", at positions 2473 to 2632 of the family's 2925-position model. The record is from RNAcentral. Lineage: Eukaryota; Metazoa; Arthropoda; Insecta; Coleoptera; Lycidae.
UAUAAUUUAAGGUUUAAUCUGCUCAAUGAGGUAUUAAAUUGCCGCAGUAUUUUGACUGUGCAAAGGUAGCAUAAUAAUUAGUUUCUUGAUUAGAAGCUUGAAUGAAUGAUUGAACGAGAAAAUUACUGUCUCUUUCUGAUUGGUUUUUGAAAUUUAUUUUUAAGUAAAAAAGCUUAAAUUUAUAUAAAAGACGAGAAGACCCUAUAGAGUUUUAUAUUUGAUUUUUAUUAUUUUUUAGAAUUUAUUUUAAAACUUGAGUAUUUAGUUGGGGUGACUUAAAGAUUUAAAUAAUUCUUUAAAUUAUUUAUUGAUGAUUAUUAAAUUUUAUAUCUAUUAUUUUUAAAUUUAAUAUAAAUUACCUUAGGGAUAACAGCGUAAUUUUUCUUUAAAGUUCUUAUUGAAAGAAGAGUUUGCGACCUCGAUGUUGGAUUAAAAUUAAUUUUUGGUGCAAUAACUAAAAAAUUAGGUCUGUUCGACCUUUAAAAUUUUACAUGAUCUGAGUUUAAACCGGUGUAAGCCAGGUUGGAUUUUAUCUUUAGAAUUAUAAAAUAUUUUAGUACGAAAGGACCAAUUAUUUAUUAUAUAUUAAUUA